CCAAGUUUAUUAAAAAAUACACCAUGGGAAAAAACAGAGACCUGGUGGAGUUCUCGCUGUGUUCACGUGCUGAGUGACUGAGAGGCGCACAGCCUCACAUGCAUGCACACGUGAUGUGUUCAUUCAGGGAGGGAGGGCUUUGUCCUCCUUGCCUAGGCUCAACCCAAGAGCUAGGAGAAAAAUAACAGCAGGCAUGGGAGGUGGGGCAUCCAGAGCAGUGAGGCAUAGCCUGCUACACUCUCUUUAUGCAGGUGUCACUGGGCAGGGAUCUGAGGAGGCGCUGGGCCAGGGCUUCCAGAGCAGAGGGAACUGCAGGCUCCUGAGGCUAGAGGCCAGGAGGUCAGCAGGGAGGCAGGAGGAAGGGAAGGAAGGGGAGGAGUGGGAGGAGGUGGGGCCACAGACACCCUUGGGGCCAGCAGUGUCGGCCUUCAGAGGCCCUGGAAGGACCUUGGCUUCCCCCCAGGCAGUGGAGUCCAAUGCAUUCUGCCUUCAGUCUUCCAUGACCUUUAUCUCAGCUCCUCCUCAGCACGUGACAGGAGGCUCCCUAGGGGCACACCGCGUGCCUGUGCCUCCCCGCGCCAAAGCUGGACUCCAUGAGUCCACAGCACCAUUCUGCUCAGUAGGUUGUGCAAACAGGAGAAUGACGCAAGCCGACCUCACCGGCGUCUUCUGUCCUGGGCCAAGUCCGCUUGCUGGCACCUCUGCAGCCUGCGUGCAGCAUUCCGCAGGGCUCCUUCUGACUGACUGCUCGUAUUCCACGACGUUGUGUCCAUUUCAGCCUCGUUAGUGACAUCACCUUGAACAAGACUUUCGUGACUCCGGUGAGAUAUGACUUUCUGUGGUCCAGUUCCAUCUACGUGUGGAAGCCCGGGACUUUCCCUCCAGCCCACUACACUUGGUUUCGAGAUCUCCAGCCUCUUCGGAGGGCAAAGCACACUAGUGGCAUGACAGGUAUAAAAAGAUGGAACAACCAGAUGGAACUGUGUAAAGUCAUUUUACAAUACACAAAUUGGAGG
This 1016-nucleotide long non-coding RNA is filed under the name Callithrix jacchus (white-tufted-ear marmoset). RNAcentral describes it as "lncRNA (ENSCJAG00000059580.2)". The record is from RNAcentral. Lineage: Eukaryota; Metazoa; Chordata; Mammalia; Primates; Cebidae.